GCGGGUAUCGUAUAAUGGUUAUUAUGUCAGCCUUCCAAGCUGAAGAUGGCAGUUCGAUUCUGCUUACCCGCU
This 72-nucleotide transfer RNA is filed under the name Candidatus Buchananbacteria bacterium RBG_13_39_9. RNAcentral describes it as "tRNA-Gly". It matches the Rfam family "tRNA". From Rfam's summary of the family: Transfer RNA (tRNA) molecules are approximately 80 nucleotides in length. Their secondary structure includes four short double-helical elements and three loops (D, anti-codon, and T loops). The record is from RNAcentral. Lineage: Bacteria; Candidatus Buchananiibacteriota.